This 253-nucleotide ribosomal RNA is filed under the name uncultured bacterium. RNAcentral describes it as "partial 16S ribosomal RNA". It matches the Rfam family "Bacterial small subunit ribosomal RNA", at positions 524 to 776 of the family's 1533-position model. The record is from RNAcentral.
UACGUAGGGGGCAAGCGUUAUCCGGAUUCACUGGGUGUAAAGGGAGCGUAGACGGCCAUGCAAGCUUGGAGUGAAAGCCCGGGGCCCAACCCCGGGACUGCUCUGGGAACUGUGCGGCUGGAGUGCGGGAGGGGCAGGCGGAAUUCCUGGUGUAGCGGUGAAAUGCGUAGAUAUCAGGAGGAACACCGGCGGCGAAGGCGGCCUGCUGGACCGCGACUGACGUUGAGGCUCGAAAGCGUGGGGAGCAAACAGG